RNAcentral lists this long non-coding RNA (13580 nucleotides) under Nicotiana tabacum (common tobacco). RNAcentral describes it as "long non-coding RNA (NTAB_LNC005655)". The record is from RNAcentral. Lineage: Eukaryota; Viridiplantae; Streptophyta; Magnoliopsida; Solanales; Solanaceae.
GAGAAGCGCCGCUGAACACGAAAGGAACCCCCACCUCCCAUUGUUUCUAUCUCCUUCAACAGAAGCCCUCCGUCGUUUUGCAAUCAAACACAAAUGACCCCCCCCUAAUCGUCUUCUUCAACUCUUCUUCUCACCGGUCAAUGGAGAACUUGCCAGAAAACACAUCUACCUCCAUCGCCACUGCUCCUUCUUCUUCGUCCAUCACAGCUACAACAACCAUGAAACCUGCUUGAAUCCUCCGUGAAACAGUCCAAAAAGCCACCAUUCAAACAAAAGAUAAAAGGAAAAAGAACAAAUCGAGAGAAAAUAGCAGUGAUGAUAUUCAGUCCAAAAACAGAACCAUGAAACCCCAAUAUGAAUCAAUUCCAGAUUUCGUGUCUUCAAUGCUCAGAAACCAGCCGUUUAAGUCUGACAUUCUGGUUCAUGUUUGAGCUUUCUUUCAAGCUUUAGGGUCGUCGAUGGUCGUUGUCUAGGGAGGCUCUAUUUCAGUCGUGCGUUGAUGUGCCAUUUGAUUGGUUUUCGGUUGAAUUCCGUCCGGGGUUCUAACGUUUGGAGGUCCGUCUCUUUCCUCCUCUUUGGUUACCUGUGAGAUGGUUUUAAGCAUGACAUUGAUUUUUUACAUUUGUUUGAGUCAUUGAGUCUUUCAAGUUGGUCUUAGAAUCUCUUAAUACACAAAGUGUUUGUUGUCGAUUUUAGUUGAAAUUGAAUAAUUUGUGUUAUGUUUGAGCUUGACGGUUUAAUGAGAAAGCAUUCUAUAGUUUAAAUUUUAAAUUAGUUUGAGGUCAGAUUGCCAUAUGAAUUAGUGCUUAAAAUAUUUUGCAAUGUCCAUAAUGUUAGUGCUUAAUUACAGUGAUGGGUUUCUCUUCCAAUGCAAGUUAAUAUUUGGCCAUUUUCUUGUCUAAAUUAGGUACUGUUAGUUUUAAAGGGACAAUAUUAUGCUUCAGGUUGCUUUUAUUUGCCUUGUUAUUCUCAUCGUUUCUUAUUUAUUUAUUUUGCGUUUUGUUUUCUCUGAAUACCAUAUGUUUCAUUGUGUGUGUAUCUCUUAUUGAUUAAAUAUGAGGCCAAAAAUCAGAACUUUGCUAGCCGCUAUAAUUUUGAAUAUUGAUAAUAAUAAGAUAAAGAUGUUAUAAACCCGGGUGUACAUUUCAUGUGACCCGAUUCUAAUUUCCAGCAAGGUUAAAUAGGACGUGUCGUGAACCACGGGUGCAUUUCAUGUGGCGUGGCUUGCGAUAUGUUUUAAAUAACCUUGAAUCUUUCUGAAAUAUUAAAAACGGCUAAAAAGUUAAACAAUGCACAUAGGUUUAAAAGUGUUUUAAAAUCAGAUAAUUAGGCAAAUAAUAACAGUUGAGCGACCGUACUAAAACCACGGAAUCCGGGAAUACCUAACACCUUCAUCCGGGUUAAUAGAAUUCUUUACCCGGAUUUCUGUGUUCGCGGACAGUAGAAUAGAGUCAAUCUUUCCUCGAUUCGGGAUUUGAACCGGUGACUUAGGACACCAUAAAUUAUCCCAAGUGGUGACUCUAAAUUUAAAUAAAUAAAUAAUCUCGUUUCGAUUGUCACUUAAAUUGGAAAAAACUCUCUUAUACCCUUCUGGGGUGUAGGUUAAAAGGAGGUGUGACAGGCCUCACUCAGUCCGAAAAUCAUCACAAGCCCCUCGGGCAUUAGUAAAGCAGUAGUUCUCAGCCCAAAACAUCAUUUAGAAAUAUCAUUUAAGUUUCAAAUAUGAGUAAUAAUGGUUGAGUUUGUAAAACAGUAAAUAUCAACAGGACUGAGUUCAAGUAAUAAGUCAAAACAGUGAGGAAAUAGUGAUAAAAAUACCCGGAGGGUUCAAAUAGUUAGCACGAAGCCCAAAUAUGGCAAUCAGCCCAAAUCAUGAUGCUAACAAACAGGUUUCAGUCAAAUACGCAGUAAAAUCAUCAAUUGGGAUGGACCAAGUCACAAUCCUCAAUUGUAAACAACCCCACACUCAUUAUUAGCGCGUGUCUCACCUUAAUAUAGCACUACGAUGUGCAAUCCGGGGUUUUAAACCCUUAGAGUAUCAUUUACAAUCAUUACUCACCUCGAAUCGGCUAAAUCUCUAGCUCGCGACGCCUUUGCCCCUAAAAUCGGUCUCCACGCGCGUCGAAUCUUUCCAAAAUCAGAAUGAAUACGUCACAAUAUGCUAAGGGAACAAAGCCCAAGCAAAAACAAUCAGAAAAUACCAAAAAUUCCGAAAUUAGCAAAACCCAAGCCCCGGGCCCACUUCUCGAAACUCAAAUAUUUUCACAUCAUUAGAUUCCUUUCUCCUCACGAGUUCAUACAUAUCAAAUUUACCAAAAUCUGACCUCAUAUGGUCACUCAAAUUCUAAAAAUUCACUCUCCAAUUUCAAGCCCUAAUUUCCCAACUCUUCUUCUAAAUUCAACAAAUUUUCAUGAUUAAACAAUGUUAUAAUCACCAUAAAUACAAGGUAUAAAUCCCAAGUAGCUUACCUCUGCGGAUACACUUGAUCCCCUCUUGAAAUCACAGCUUGGAGCUCCAAAAUCGCACAAAAAUGAUGAACAAAUGACUUAAAAUCACGAAAGGGAAUUUUUAUACCAUCUGCCCAGCCCUUUCGUACUUGCGAUCCAGUAAGCGCAUAUGCGCUUCCGCUUCUGCGAAUUUCACUUAUGAGUCAGGACCCAUUUCUGCGGUCCAAAAGCACACCUGCGGUACCGCAUAUGCGGUUCUCCCUCCGCUUCUGCGAAAAUCACUUGCCGACCAAAUCUCGCAUCUGCGAUCCUUUCCCCACAUUUGCGGCUUCGCAGAUGCGGUCCACAUAGCCGCUUCUACGGUCUCAGCCCAUCUGAUCCUUUUUUGCUUCUGCGAUGAAUCACCUGCAUCUGCGGUCUGCAAAAAUACCAGAAGCUGCAAAUCUGAAGCUACAACCAACAUCUAACUUCUCUGAUAACCAUCCGAAAUCAUCCCGAAGCCCCCAGGACUUCAACCAAAAGUACAAACAUAGCCCAAUACCUUAUUUAAACUUGUUACAAUCAUCAAAACACCUCAAACAACAUCAAAUCUACCAAAUCAUAUCGAAUUCAAGCCUAAGUUUCUAAAAAUCUUCUGAAAUACUCUUUUGAUAAAAAACCCAACCAAAUCACGUCCAAAUGACCCGAAAUUUUGCACACACAUCCCAAAUGACACAAUGAAGUUACUGUAACUCUCGGAAUUCCAUUCUGACCCUUAUAUAAAAAUCUUGCCUAUCAACCGGAAAUCGCCAAAAUAUCAAUUUCGCCAAUUCAAGCCUAAACCUACUCUGGACAUCCAAAACCAAUUCCGAUCAUGCUCCUAAGUCAUAAAUCACCCAACGAAGCUAACAAAAUCAUAAAAAUUCCGUUACGAGCUCAUAUACAAAUAAGUCAACUCUUGGUCAAACCUUUCAAUUUCAAAGCUUUCAUCUGAGACUGUUCUUUCAAAUUCAUUCCGAUUUUCCAGAAAACCAAAACCAACGAUCUACAUCAGUCACAAUACAUUACUCGGGGCAAGUCAUGCCCGAGAACUGGCAAUCAAAGUGCAAAAGCUCAAAGCGACUGGUCUGGUCGUUACAUCUGUAAAGACAAAUAGAGAACUACUAGUUCAAAUAGUCUCUAGUAAGAAAAUCAGGAAGGGUAUUAUCAGACCCUUUUUUGUAUAUAAUUUCGAAAUCAAAAGGGGAUAAUAAAUCUUGCCCCCUUGCAAACAUUUGUUUAGACACAUCAUGUUUGAAAUCUUUACUAAAGAUAAAUUUUGCUGCUUGGCAAUCAGUUUUAAUCAACAAUUUUUGAUUGUAUAAAUUAGUCUGAAAUUUCAUAACACAUUUGACAAUAGCAAGAAUUUCUUUAGCUACAGUCGCAUAAUUUUUCUGGGAACCAUUCCACUUACCAGAAUAAAACUGAACAAGAUAUUCUUGUUUAUCUAUUAGAGAACAUUAUUUCAAUAUCCCACCAUAACCGAUAUCAGAGGCAUCAGUUUCUACAACCUUUGCCCAAGUGGGAUUAGCAAGAGUCAAACAAGGAAGGUUAUUAACCUUUUGUUUAGUUCUCUUGACUGCUUCAGUAUGACUCUCAGUCCAAGCGUUAGGGUUCUUCUUUAGUCUUUCAUAAAGAAGAGCUGUAUCCUUAGCUAGAUCCUUUAUAAAAGGAGAAAUAUAAUUUAAGCUUCCUAAAAAUCGUUGAACAUGGGUUUUAUCAGUAAUAAUAUCAGGGAACUUAGAAGCAAAUUCAGUACUUCUAUUAAUAGGAAUGAUCCUACCCUUCUCAAUGUUAUGACCCAAAAAUCUAACAGAAGUUUGGAAAAUCAUCAUUUUUGGUUUUGAUAUAACUAAAUCAUUCUGAAUAAUAAUGUUUUUAAACAAAUCAAGAUGUUUGAAAUGAGACUCAAUUUUUUUUGAAAAUACUAAGAUAUCAUCAAUAUAAACAAUUAUAAAAUCCGUAUAAGGAAGGAAAAUAUCAUUCAUAAUUUUUUGAAAUUCAGAAGGAGCAUUUUUCAAUCCAAAGGGCAUAACAUUCCAUUCAUAUUGACCCAUUGGAACAUUGAAAGCCGUUUUAUACCUAUCUGAUUCAGAUAUCUGAAUUUGUCAAUAACCUGAUUUUAAAUCAAAUUUUAAAUAUAAUGGCAUCAUGCAAUUUGUUUAAUAAAUCCUUUUUAUUAGGAAUAGGAUAUCUAAUCCAUUUUAAAACCUUAUUAAGGGUCUUGUAAUUAAUGACUAAUCUAGGAACUCCUCGUUCCUGUUCAGCAUGCUUAUUUACAUAAAAAGCAGUACAAUACCAUUUGAACUUUGAGAGCCUAAUUAAACCCUUCUGCUGCAAGGAAUCAAUUUUCUUUUUGCAUAACUCCAAAUAAUCAGAGUUCAUUUGACAAGGUCGAGCCGUGGUAGAGAUAUUAUCCUCAAAAAAGUCUUCUUCAUAAGGAAGACUUAUAAUGUGCUUCUUCCUACUCCAAAAUUGGCUUGGAUGGUCACCACAAAUAGAAGCAGAAAAUUGAUUUUUGAGAAAAUUAAUUUUUUCUACUAACUUAGGCUUUUUUAAAUACUGUACAAUGCUGAUGGAACAAAUCAUAUUUCUCAAAAAUUCAAUUNNNNNNNNNNNNNNNNNNNNNNUACCGGUAAAACUUUUUGUAUCCCAAUAUAAAAAAGGCAUUAAUUUAAUAAAAAAUGGGACACCAUGUAUUACAUCCCCAUCAAUAUCUUUUACCAAUACAAAACUUUCAGGAAUACAGGUAUCCUGUUGGCAAAUAUAAGCCCUAGGUAAUUUGUAUGAAAUACCCAUUGCACCACCACUAGCAUUAUUUAAACGGUGAGUGGUUUUAUGAAAAUAUCUGGAGGGUAUUACUCCUUCUUUUACACAAUAUAAAUCUACUCCACUAUCAAAUAAAGCAACAAACUCUUUUUUUAAAUUAUAGUCAAUUAAAAGUGUUAUUUUUAUUAAAAACUUUUGGGUGAUAAAAUAUAGCAGUUUUUCUAGAAAUUCAUCUUCAGAAAAGUCCAUAGCUGCAAGCAAAGUAUUAGCAGUAUUUUCUUCUGAAGAACUAGCCGUAGUAUUUAUCUCAGUAAUCUUGAUACUGGGAUCUGCUUGGCAGAAUUCUCUAAUUUGAAAAUCCUUUCAUCUAAGACUACUUUUGAAGCCUUUAAUUCCGAGAUUUCUUUCUUGAGAUAAUUUAUCUCAGUACUUAAAUCUUGGACAGCAGCAAGCCUUUCAGGCUGAGACUUGUUUUUCACCAUUUUUGUGAUUUCAGACAUGGUGUAAGGUCCUUUUUGAGAUGGAAUUUCUUCCACCUCUGUUCCUGCUUCUGAACUAGUAGGAAGUUUAUCAAUAAGUUGGGACCUUAAUUCAGGGUCUUUAAUAACCCUUAGAAGAUCAAUCAUAUUAUCAUUAGAUAGAACAUUGAUCUUCAAGUCUCUAAAUUGAGAGCAAAUAUUAAAAAGUUCAUCGUCGGUAUUGCAACAAUGAUUUGAGCAUUGUCCCUUAUUAUAGAACUCUUGCUCUUCUUCAGAAGAUGAAGUAUAACUUUCUUCAUGAAGGACCCUUAGGUCUUCACUUGUUGAUGAAUUAUCUUCAUCAGUGUCCGAUAUAUCUGGGGAAGAAUUUAAAAUAAUCUUGCAUAAAAAAUCUUUAAUAUGAUCGUCUAAAUCUAAUUCCUUGAUCUUAUCCUUAAUUUUGCAAUCCUUUGCAUAAUGACCUACUCUUCCCCAUUUAUAACAGGCAUGAGGGUUUUUUGGUUUAAUAAAACCCUUUCUGGCUUUAUGAAAAGCCUUUGUUCUUUGGGUCUUUACAUGCCGUUUCUCCAGCGAACCCUUGUUCCUUUUGAAAUCCUUUUUAUGGGAUUUCUUCUUCUUAGAAGGUAUAUCAAUGGCGAAAUGUUCACAGAAUUCACCUAAUUGUUGUCUCUCAGUGAGACAAUAUUUCUUAGUUUGUUGGUUUAGCUUGAUCUCAUAACACAGAGCUAAACCUUCCUGAGUGCAUAGACUAAAGAGUUUACCAUAUGAGUAAGUAUCAUAAUUGAUACUCAUCCCUGUGCCUCUAAUGAUUUUUCGAAUCCUUUCAGCAAAUAAGGGAGGGAGUCCAUCAAUAAAUUUAGACUUCCAAUGAGUACUAUUACUUUCUAGUAAUUCCAUCACUCUGGAUAAGAAAACAUAUUUAUACCAUCGAAAAGAUGUGAUGGUUUUACACCUCAAAUUCUGGAGCAUCGUUCUAAUGGUCUUACUAUUAUCAGACCAUCUUCCAGAAAAGUGUUCGAUGAUGUUCAUGACUAAAGAAUAGACUGAGUUUUGAAUAGUCUUAUCCUCUUCAGUCUUGGUUGCGUUCAUUAUUUGAAAACGCUGGCCAUGAGUGAGAUAAUUAUCCCACCAGCCUUUCAGCUGGCCAGUAAAUCCGGCAAUAAUCAUUUCUACAAUUUCCCUAUCUAUAUUCUUAUUAACCUUACAGAUAGUACUGUACAUAAGCAUUCUAUGUACUAUAGUAUAGAUCUGUCUUUCAACAAGACCAUCUAUAUUCCAUUCAUAGAUAUCUGACUCACUAUAACCCUAGUGAUAAUGGUCAUUGUCCUGUUCUUCUAUUAGGACAUCUUGGGGGUAGGUCUAGGAUAGUAAAACAUUUUCUGGUAUGGUUUUCGAGCAUACUUUUCAGAGAUUUUAUUAAUCUCGUCGUCUACCUUCAGAUUGCUAGUAGACGCAUGCUCUAAAGUUAGAGGGCUAGCUCUAAAUUCACCUUACUUCUUAACAAGAAGUUCUUCAAUAUUCUCUAAACUUAGGUUAUCCAGACUUUUCAAUUUAAAGUCCUUUACCUCAGGAGGUGGUUGGACACUUGUAGUAGUGAUUUGAUCUUUACCUUUAGUAUCCUUCUGUUGGAUUUUUUGGACCUCAGCUAUAAGCUUGUCCAAUUUCUCAUGAAUUUUGAUAGCCUGUUCACCCAAAUACUUACAUACAUAUUAGUAUAAUUGUUCUGAGUAAGCAUAGUAUUCAGGUUCUUCGCAGUUAUAGCAGCAACAUCAUUUUCAAAUAUUUUUGAAAAAAGUAAUGCAGUAAAUAAUCUUAUCUUUUUCCCCUAUAUGAAAAGAUUGUUGGGGUGGAAAAAUAGAAUUAACAAUAUUUCCAUUAGUGAGCGUAUAAUCUCUUUCUAACACAGAAACAUAGUUAUAAACAUGUUUUGACAUAAACCAAGGAACAAAAGCAAUAAUCUUAUUUUUUUUGCUAAUAUCCCCAUAAAAUCAUUUCUAAACAAUUGUAUUAAUUUAGGAGUCAUGUUUUCAUGAAAUCAUUUUCUGAAAACAACCCAUUUGGAUUUUAGAAAUUCUUCUAAAAUCAUUUUUCUUGCCGGUGAACCCGGACUAAAAUCUAUUUGGUUUUCAAUCAUUUUUAAAACCAUUUGUAAAAUUCAUAUCGGAUGGAGUAGGUUCAAAAUCUGCAGUAUUAUUAAUCUUGACAAUAUUAUCACUACUGAUGCUGAUAUCAUUAACUCUAUUAUUUUCUCUAAUUUGAGAUGUGGAUGCUCUAGAUGGAAAAUCUACCACGUAAUCAAUUGGAGAAAUAUAUGAAUAGCUUGAUCUAGUUAAUCUAGAUAAUAAACUGAUAUUAUCAGUUUGCUCAGGUUCAUUGAACCUGAUUUUAACAGUGCCAUCUGAGGUUUGUUUUAUUUCUGUAACCUCAGUAUUACUAGUGUUUCGAGGGGCAACUGCUUCCUCUAUGACCCAUUCCUUAGGGAAAUCAAUUUCAUCCCAUUUGAUAGGUCUUUUGGUGUUUACUUUGGAUUUACCAAAGUUGGUUUCUAUAAGAAUAGUUUCAUUUUUGAAAUCCAUAAUUUUUCACAUAGGAUUCAAAGUAUAUAACGGUUUGAAAUAAAUCCUAUAGCAGAUGCAUAUGACUUCUGUACUAGGCAAACAAUUAUAACCAUGUAAUAUAAUGCUAAGUAUUAAAGCAUUCAAAGAAUUCUCAUCAUUAAGAGAAAUCUGCAAAUUAGGAAUACAUUAAAAUAAACAGGGCCAUAGGCCAAACUGGUUUGCACAGUCCCUAUGAGAGACUUUUUCCAGUCCUGGUUUCUGCCAUCUCUAAGAGCUGCAAUAGAGCUUUCAGGUAAGCCUCUUAAAGUAAGUGGCUUAAAGGCAACUUGUAUUAAACCUAUAUGUAUAAAUCUAUAUGAAUCCCUAUAAGGGACUAAAUCACUUUCAGAUAAUAAUCUGAACGUAGCAUGAUCACUAUCUACAGUGAUAGUCUCUUCAGCAGUUUUAACUACCUGUUUUAAACCUAUUCUUUUAAAGGUACCUAACUGGUAUAUUACAUUAGGUUUGAUUAAUGGGAUAGUCCACUUAUUAAGAAGGUCUAAUUGUUGAGGUAAUUCAUACUCCUCUUUCCUACUGUUUUUAACAGCAGUCUUCUUCCUAAUGAUAUUCAUUAAGAAAAUAGUGUUAAACUUAGUCUCUAAUGUUUUUUACUAACAUGGCUCUGAUACCAAGGGGGUACAGGAUCGCUUCCGAAUGAGGCUCGGGAAAUGAAUUACAAGAAUUUCAGCCCUAGCUAGCUACUAACCUCUAGGCAAACCUUAAACCACGAUGCUCCUCACAACCCUUCAACGGCCACCUGCCUAACGGGUUUACGAGCACCACCGGUUAGGUUGGCCUAACCAAGGUUUACUAUCGAGAAUAGUAACUGCCUGGUUUAUAUAGUUCUUAACCCAAAACCUCAUCGGAGUUAUACAGUAGACUCCUAGCUACGAAACAUGCAUAGUAAACAACCUUCGAAUACUAAGUCUAACACUUACAUGUUUACCCGAUCAUUUAGGCCAACAGUGCUACAAAAAUGAAAGAGGGAAGGAGAAGAACAGUACCAGACCAAAGACCCUUUGUUGUGGCCAAGUGACCUUUUUGAUUUUUAUUUCUGAAUUGAAAAUAUUACAAAAGGGGUUUUUUACAAGUAGAGAGAGAAACUAGAGAGAAGUCAGAGCGUUUUGUAAUGCCUUGGCUAAUGCCUACUUCUCUGAAUAAUAAAAUGAUCGUUAUAUAAUGGAUCGGUCUACAAACAAACAAAACUAAAAAGUAAAACUGGCCAACAAAAUAAUUACAGGUGUGGCCGACAAGAUAAAAAAAGUUCUAUAAUUAAGUCCGAACAAACUACUUUAUAAAAGUAGAAUCCCUUCAAUAAUGGAGGGGCCCGUUAGUUUAUUAAAGUCGUCUUUACUACCCCAAUAAUUUAUCUAUUGGGGCCUUCAAUAAUUCAGACUUUGCUUUUCCCUUUGUCGUUUUUCACCAAAGAUUCUUCGGCACUUUCCUUCAGCUUUGUAAGGAAAUCUUCAAUUUCUUCAAUAUUAAUUUUUGUGUCAGAGGGGCUCUGUGCUUCACCUGCUACACAUAUUCCUUCAUUUGAAGUGCUUUCAAUGGAGGUCAUAGAGAUAUCAUCUCUGACUGUUGUUUCAAAAUUUCUUACUAGAUCCUUCUUUAUUUCUUCAAAGUAUGAAGCAAGGAUCUCUUUCUUUGAUAUAGCUCCUUUCUUCAUUUGGAGCCGCUUUGUGAUCAUUUCAAAAGGACUUAAUUUUUCCUCUGCAACCUGUGUUCUGUCUAAUUUGACAGUCUUCUAUUUUAGCCUGUAUUUGUUGAAUCAAUUCUUCACCAUAUAACUUGCCUUGCUGAUUAGUCUGGAAUAACUUAGACCAAAACUUAUGAUAAAAAAUUCUGUUAAGGCAGGGAAUUCCUUCAUUGGUAUAACCGAUCUGUACAUCCCAUUUCAUUAUGCAAGGGAUUGAAAAUUCGAUAAAUAAAUACAUGGUAGCAAUACCAUUAUAAAAGAUAUUAUCAUUUUGUAAUGACAGAAUUUGGGAUAUAUGUCUACCCACUGAGAAUAUAAAGCUUUUAGUAGAGGGUUGAGUAUUUCUAAUGAUGGACCGUAUAACAUCCACCACUUGAAGAACCAAUUUGGAAUUUGUUGUCCGAACAUAUUAGGACAGAGUUUAAUAAACUAAGAAUGUUUCCUAUUAGGAUUUUCAUAAAGGAAAGUUUAAUUAAAACUCUCUACAUAGUCCCAAUAAUUGAACUUAACUGAUACCUUUUGGUUAGGAUAUGUGUAUUCACGAUCCUUGAGAGUACUGAUACCCCAUUCAUCAGAAGGUAUGACCUUCAUUAUUAUAAUCUUCAAAAAACUAUAAUUUUUCCUAGUAUUAUCAGGAUAAAAGUGCUGAAUUUCAACAGAUCCUGUUGUUGGGAGUAUAAUCUCAUAGUGCAUCCUGUAUUUAUAAGCAGGAGUAGUGUAUAACGCUGUAUCAAAAUACCUGGCCAUUAUUUUCCAAGGAUUAUCCUUCCAUUUAGGUCGGAUUGUUCCAAAAGAAUUAUUAACUCUUUUGUCUCUUUUUGAGUAUAAAACUCAAAAUUCUCAUUACUAUCCUCUGAUAUAACUGAGGAGUAGGUUGGUACAUUAGAUGUGGAUAAUGUACCUUCAUCUUUCUUGGAUUGUAUAAAAUCCAUGAAUUCUUUGUAUAAAGGAUGUUCGGUAUUACCUUCUGUUAUAUUGGCGGCUAUUAGCCUUUGAUUUCCAAUUUGGGCGAGAAUAUUAUUCCCUCUACCAUCGGUAGAUGCCCUACCUCUUCCUCGCUAUGACGACCCAAAGGGUCAUCACCUAUUUUUAAUUGUAUUAUGUGCUUCCUAGGCCUUGAAAACCUCAUUUAGAGUCACCUCAAUUUGUGUGCGCAGUCCGGGCACGUAGCCGGAAAGCUUAAAUAUGAAAUUUUGUAAAAAAUGAUGAAAUUUGAGUUUAAAAUGAAUAAAUUUGACUUCGGUCAAUAUUUUGGGUAAACGGACCCGGACCCGUGAUUUGAGGUCCCGGAGGGUUUGUAGGAAAAUAUGGGACUUGGGCGUAUGCCCGGAAUCAAAUUCCGAGGUCGCGAUCCUGAGAAAUCAAUUUUUUAAAGGAAAUUAUUUUUCUGAAAUUAUUAAGAAAAAUUGAAAUGAAAUUUGAUUAGAACGUGUUGGUAUCAGGUCCGUAUUUUGGUUCCGAUGCCUGGUACAGGUCUUAUAUAUGAUUUAAGAUGUUUCUGUAAAGUUUGGUUAAAAUCGGACGUCGUUUGACGUGUUUCAGACUUGAAAUGCUAAAUUUGAAACUUGAUAAAGUAUUUGGAAAAAUUCUUGAUUUUGAGGUUUGAUUCAUUGUUUUUAAGGUUAUUUAGGUGAUUUGAUCACACUGAUAGGUUCGUACAAUGAUGUUGAGUUAGUGCAUGUGUUUGGUUAGGAUCCCCGAGGGCUCGGGAGUAUUCCGGAGGUGUUUCAUAGUGGUUUUAGACUUAUGAAAGUUGCAGGUUUCCAGUUCUGGUAUGGUCUUCUUCGCGUUCACGGGAGAACCCUUGCGAACGCGAUGAGUAAAUUUCCUGAAGGAAAUUCCCUUCUACGCGAACACGUAGACCAGGUCGCGAACACGAGGCAACGUGGGGCUAGACCUUCGCGAACGCGUUCCUGGCUAUGCGAACGCGAAGGCCAAGUGCCUGUGCAGGGGGAAUGGGUAGAACACCCUACGCGAACGCGAGGGCUCAAGGAGCAACAGCUUCGCGAACGCGAGCCCCUAUCCGCGAACGCGAAGGCCAAAAAGCCUGACCCAUAGCAAACACGAGAGGUCUAUCGCAAACGCGUAGAGUCAUUUUGCUCAAUUAUUUUAAAGUUCCAAAACAGAACCACAAACGGGAUUUCAUAACAUUUUCAUAAACCCUUUCUUCUUCAAAGCUCCUAGGCGAUUUUUGAAGCAUUUCUUCACCAAAGUUUCUUAGGUAAGCAUUGUUUAACUCGUUUUCUUCAUUUUCCAUCAACAUCUAUUGAAAUUCUAGGCCUAAAACAUGUAAUUAAGGGUAGAAAUUAGGGAAUUGGGUAGAGCUAGGGCUUUUUGAUUUUUCUUGAUUUAGACCUCGUUUUGGGGUGGAAUUUGAAAACAAAUUAUAUAUUCGGGCUCGUAGGUGAAUGGGUGAUCGGGUUUUGGUCUGAACAUCGUGUUAUGACGCAGCGGGACCAGGAUCAAUUUUUGGGAUUUUGGGAAGAAUGAUUGGAAAGUUAUAAUUGAACAUUGAAAUUGGAUUGUUUAGCACUUAUUGAUGAUAUUGAGUCAAUUGUGCAUAGAUUCGAUUGGGUUGGAGCCGAAUUUAAGAGGAAAACCGGUGUUCGAGGCUUGAGUUGGCCGUGGAAGUUCGAGGUAAGUGUUCGGUCUAACCUCAGUUUGAGGGAUUAGGAAUUGAGUCCUAUUUGCUACUUGCUUCUUGUUGAGUGUAACGUAUAGGCAUGGUGACGAGUAUCUAUACGUUGCUGUCGAGCAAGACCGUGAGUCUUAAAUUUGAACGUUGUUGUGCUCUCAUAUGGCACUUCAGAUGCUUUAAUUAAUGAUCUCCUAUAUUGAGUAAAGAUUGAUUUUAUCCUCGUAGAUCUUAGUUAUGAUUGAGUAUUGUCAUUAAUUGAGCCGAGUACAAAAUGAUUUAGGAUAUGGUUAUAGCUGAUUCUCCCUUGCCGGGAUGACUAUUUCGAUAUUGUUGUUCCCUUGCCGGGAAGUUAUUAUAUUGUUUUUGUUCCCUUGCCGGGAUUUCUUGAAAUUUGUGAUGACUUGUAAAUGGGAGCGGGUGGUACGCCUACCACAAGAUAUAAUGAAAUGAGAGCGGGUGGCCUACCACAAGAUAUAAUGAAAUGGGAGCGGGUGGUACGCCUACCACAAGAUAUAAUGAAAUAGGAGCAGGUGGUACGCCUACCACAAGAUAUAAUGAAAUGGGAGUGGGUGGUACGCCUACCACAAGAUAUGAUGAAAUGGGAGCAGGUGGUACGCCUACCACGAGAUAUAAUGAAAUGGGAGUGGGUGGUACGCCUACCACAAGAUGAAACUAAAAGUGAAAGUUGCUAUAUUUCUUUUUAUCCGCAUUAGAAGUUAAAUUGUAUUUUCCUUAUUAUUCUUUGAUAUUCUGUUUAUCUGCUACCCCCGAAGCAUGUUCCCUUUCCCCAACUUUGAUUGCUUAUUACUUGUUUACUUUUUCUGCCAUAUAUUAUAUAACUGCACAGGUUUAUCUGUAGUCUGGUCCUAGCCUCGUCACUACCUCGCCAGGGUUAGGACAGACACUUACCAGCACAUGGGCUUGGUUGUGCU